ACUCAGCAAAACAAGGUUUCUCAUUAAGGCACAUCCUCCUUAGAAGGUUAUAGAGCCAGGAGGCCGAAUAUGCACAUACUGCAAGGAACUUCGUAUGGCAUUUGUUUCACUAGGGAUACAAAUGAAGUCCACAUGUAAUUGAUUGAUGGAGUCUUGCUCUGUCUCCCAGGGUGGAGUGCAAUGGUGCCAUCUCGGCUCACUGCAACCUCCACCUCCCGGGUUCAAGUGAUUCUCCUGCCUCAGCCUCCUGAGUAGCUGGGACUACAGGUGCGCGCCACCAAGUCUGGCUAAUUUUUGUAUUUUUAGUAGAGAUAGGGUUUCACCAUGUUGGCCAGGCUGGUCUUGAACUCCUCACCUCAAGUGAUCUGCCUGCCUCGGCCUCCCAAAGUGUUGGGAUUACAGGCGUGAGCCACCGCGCACAGCCAAGACGUAUUAAAUUAAUAAUAUUUAUAAGCUCCUUCUUUUUCCCAAAGUCAGAAGUUCCACACAUGCUCAAGGUCAGGGGUUGUUAAUGAAGAAAACCUAAGGUAACCGAAGUAAUGAUGUUUGUGUAGUGCUUAAUAAUCUACAAAAAUUUGUGGGUUUUUUUUUUUUUUUUUUUUUUUUGAGAUGGAGUCUCGCUCUGUCACCCAGGCUGGAGUGCAGUGGCACGAGCUCAGCUCACUGCAACCUCCGCCUCCUGGGUUCAAGCGAUUCUCCUGCCUCAGCCUCCCCAGUACCUGGGAUUACAGGCACACACCACCAUGCCUGGUUAAUUUUUGUAUUUUUUUAGUAGAGACGGGGUUUCACCAUGUUGGCCAGGCUAAUCUUGAACUCCUGACCUUGUGAUUUGCCCGCCUCUGCCUCCCAAAGUGCUGGGAUUACAGGCGUCCACCACCACAACCGGCUAAUUUUUUGUAUUUUUAGUAGAGACAGAGUUUCACCAUGUUGGCCCGGCUGGUCUUGAGCUCCUGACCUCACGUGAUCCACCCACCUCAGCCUCCGAAAGUGCUGGGAUUACAGGCGUGAGCCACCACGCCUGGCCCUACAAAAAGAGAACCGUGGAACCCAGCGACUAGUGUUCAGCUCAGUUAGGACGAACCCAGGCACUUAGCCAUGCAGGAACAAUGGCAAGACUUUAGCGCAAUCAGAGCGGCAAUGGGCGCAUCGCUGGAUCAGGAGCACAGUGGACACCCUGCUGGAUCCGGAGGCCAAAGCUCAGCUCCAGCCGUAACAAUCAUGGACCAGAAGAGUGUGCAGUUGCAAGAUUUAAUAGAGUGAAAACAGAACUCCCAUACAAAGGGAGGGGACCCAAAGAGGGUAGCCGUUGCUGGCUCCAAUGCCUGGGUUUAUAUCCCGAUCAUUGUCCCUCCCCCUGUGCUCUCAGCCCAUAGAUGAUUGGCUAUUUCUUUAUCUUCUGUUUUUGCAUAAUUAGCAUUUUAAUGAACUCUCUUUACUACCUGAUUGGUAGUAAAUUGGUAGUGUGAGCUAAGUUGCAAGCCCCGUGUUUAUGUGGUCACCUUCCCAGCUAGGCUUAGGGAUUCUUAGUCAGCCUGGGAAAUCCAGCUAGUCCUAUCUCUCAAUAAUACAUUGUUCUGUCUGGAAUUAUUACAUUUCCGCAUAGUCUCUACUCCAGUCUCCCGAGGAAGGAACUAUGCAAUGUUUUCAUCUGAACCACAAGGCCCGCCACAGUCCAUGGCAAUCUCACUCUGUCACCCAGGCUGGAAUGCACCAUCUCGACUCACAGCAACCUCAGCCUCCCAAGUUCAAGCGAUUCUUCUGCCUCAGCCUCCCGAGUAGCUGGGACUACAGGAGUGGGUCACCACGCUGGGCUGAUUUUUUUGUAUUUUUAGUAGAGAGAGGGUUUCACCAUGUUGGCUAGGCUGGUCUCGAACUCCUGACCUCAAGUGAUCCUCCCAUCUCGGCCUCCCAAAGUGCUGGGAUUACAGGCCUGAGCCACCUAGCCUGGCCCUUAUUCUUAUUCUUUUUUUUUUUUUUUUUUUUUUUUGAAACAGAGUCUUGCUCUGUCGCCCAGGCUGGAGUGCAGUAGCACAAUCUUGGCUCACUGCAACCUCUGCCUCCCUGGGUUCAAGCAAUUCUCCUGCCUCAGCCUCCUGAGUAGCUGGGACUACAGGUGCGUGCCACCAUGCCCGGCUAAUUUUUGUAUUUUUAGUAGAGACUGGGUUUCACCAUAUUGGCCUGGCUGGUCUCAAACUCCUGACCUUGUGAUCCGCCCGCCUCGAAUAAAAGCCGCUUCAAUAGAGGUGCUCAAAGAAGGAAUGACAGGAACUUCCCUUCUAAUGAAAAUCUAGCAUAAGAUGUCCUCCUUUUUCAAAGGAAAACUGGUCCUUGCACUCCUUUUCUGGCAUUAUGACCUUACAGUCUUUCCUGUCAGGAAAAGAUUUCCAACCUGAUACCUGGUACCAUUCAUAUAAACAGUACAAGCCAUGACAGCAUCGCUCCAGCUUCCUCAUCUCAUUCAGCUUUUCCCUUUUCAGUUUUCCUACAAGGGGCUAGAAUGGAGAUAGCAUAGGUAGAUUCUUAUACAUCUAGCUGUCUUGCUAAAGUAGUGCUGUAAAAACAAAUUCAUGAUGGCAAUUUCCUCAAAGGAAAGGGUCAAAAGUGGGCCAAGUAAUUUAAUUUUGAAAGUGAUUUUAGGACAGGAAAUCAGGGAUUGUUUGUGGGUAACUCAGGGAGGGCUGAGGAUUGUGAUGAAGGCACAGAUCCUACACCACUUCAGACUUCGUGGGGUCGACCCCUACGAAGCAAAGCUUGUAAGCCCUUUGUAGAAGAGUAUCUUACUUUCAGGCCUCUGACUGUCAGUCCUCUGCUCUGGUUAAUAUCAUCAAGGGAAUCCUUGCCUGACAGAAUGUAAUUUGGGAUCUAUUAAAUAUGAUUACUUGCCCUUGAAAAUGAUGGAUAUUGGACAGAAUUAUAGAAUCACUUCACAAAAGAAAAGUCUCUUUUACAUCCUUUCUUGUGGAGCCUAAAAUGAAGCCUGGGGAAAUCCCUCAGAGGGUUGUGGCAUUUAUAGGUUAGGUUUAUGAAAAAGGGAAUUGAUAUUCAUAUUAAAAACUGUAAAAAUUGAGCAAGGUGGAGAUAGUGAGCAUGCAGACAGCUGUGACGUGUGUCUGAAGGGUGAGUGGCAUGUUGGCCAACCGAUUUAUUUGCUUUAAUUAUAUUAGUAAUGCGAAAGCUGACAUGAUUCGAAACAAGCUCUUUGGGUUUUUCAUUCCAAUACUAGCCCCAAGUGACUAUUUUUUAUGGUCCUCCCAAUUUCCAAUUACUUAAGUGUUCAUAGCAGAAAUGCUUCAGAGUUCAUUGCUGGGUUUGCUUUGGAGGUGGCCUGUGCUUGAGUUUUUACUUAAUUAAAUUUUGGUCCUGAUUAUAAAAGUAAUAUACGGCCAUUGAAAAAAAUGCAAAACAUAAAAAAUUGCAAAGAAGAAAUUAAAACUCACUAAUAAUUCUGCUACCCAGAGAUUGCCACUAACAUUUUCCUGUAUACCUUCUAGCCUUUUCAUAUAUAUGUAUAUAUACAAUACGCACACAUAUAUAUACAUACAUACAUACAUACAGGUAUAGUUCUUUUAUUUUUAUUAUUUAAUUGGGCAUAAUUAUCAAUUAAGUAAUAUCAAAAAAGUAAUACCAAAACAGUAAUAUGUACUGUUUUGUAAUUUUUUUAACCUUAAUACUAUAGCAGACCAUAUUCCCAUAUAUUUAGGUAUUAUUCUAUAAUGAGAUAUUUAGUGGUUAUAUAUUAUUCAUUGUGUGUAUGUAACAUCAAUUUUUAAAAUAAUCUGCAGUUGUGGCCAGGCGCGGUGGCUCACGCCUGUAAUCCCAGCACUUUGGGAGGCCUUGGCAGGUGGAUCACGAGGUCAGGAGUUCAAGACCAGCCUGGCCAAGAUGCUGAAACCCCGUCUCUACUAAAAAUACAAAAAAUUAGCCAGGCGUGGUGGCACACGCCUGUAAUCCUAGCUACUCCGGAGGCUGAGGCAGAGAAUUGCUUAAACCUGGAGGGGCGGAGCUUGCAGUGAGCCGAGAUCGCGCCACUGCACUCCAGCCUGGGCGACAGAGGGAGACUCCAUCUCAAAUAAUAAUAAUAAUAAUAAUAAUAAUAAUCUGCAGUUUAUGGGAAUUUAGGAGACCUAGUUACAUUUUUUAAAGCCAUUAUCAGAUAACUCUUUGUAAACAUCCCUAGCUAUUUAGGAUAUUUUCCAGACGAGUCACAGUGCCUCAAAGUUUGCAAAAUAAUCAGGCUUUUACAUGUAGCUGAAUUGCACAUUUCUCUUAUGCAAUUUCUACAUUACAGUACUUCUUCACUAUAUCUUCUGUUUAUCUUGCCAAGACCAAAAACAACGGAAGUAGCAGAUGGAAUUGAGAUUACCACUAUUACAUUUCUGUUUGGCCGUGAAUUUUGUGUAACAGAUAAGGUGAGAGCAGCAUUCAAAUUCUAAAUUACCUCAAAAUAAAAGGAAUUAGAGAGGAGGAAAUGGGGAGUUACUGUUUAAUGGGUGUAAAGUUUUCGUUUUGCAAGAUGAAAGGAGUCCUGGAGAUGGAUGGUGGUGAUGGUUGCCCAAUAAUAUGAAUGUACUUAAUACCAAUGAAUUGUAUACUUAAAAAUGGUUAAGAUAGUAAAUUUUAUGUUACGUAUAUUUCACAAUAAAAACAUGGGGAACUGGAAAAACGAGAAAGCAAAUGGAAAAAGUCUUCACUAUUUGUGUUGCAGAGGAGCACAUUUAGAAAUAAGAAAUUGUUUUUAUCCCUCAGGCAAAAAAGAAAAAAAAGGAUAGGCUUGCCAUAUUCCAUGAUGUUGCAAUGCUAUAGUGGGUGAAGCCAUAAUCAUAAUUAACAUUUAUAUGGCAUGAGUUACAGUUUACAAGUGCUUUUGUACACAUAAUAUCAUUGGCAUAAUAACCUUGUGAAAUAGUUGAAAUAGUUAAUUAUCUUCACUUUGUGUAUGAGAACUCUGAGACUAAGGUCAAAUAACUUCCCAAGGUGAUAUAGCUGGCAAAGAGCAGAAGCAAAACAUCAUUCCAGGGCCCUAAUUCUUGCCACAACCAUCUUCUAUGAAAUAUACUCCCAUGUCGGCAGCGAAACUCUUAUGCUGGCAAAACCAUCAGAUGUUUUCACUUGAAAAGUCAAAUAUUUCGUAUAUAAACUGACAAGGACAAAUAUAUUUAAAUUGUGUUCAAAGAAAAUCUUUAACUUAGAAAACCUACUUCUGGCCAGGCGCAGUGGCUCACGCCUGUAAUCGCAGCACUUUGGGAGGCCGAGGUGGGCUGAUCACCUGAGGUCAGGAGUUCAAGACCAGCCCGGCCAACAUGGUGAAACCCUGUCUCUACUAAAAAUUAAAAAAAAAGAAAAAGAAAUACAAAAAUUAGCCGGGCAUGGUGGCAGGUGCCUGUGAUCCCAGCUACUCGGGAGGCUGAGGCAGGAGAAUUGCUUGAACCUGGGAGAUGGAGAUUGCAGUGAGAUGAGAUCGCACCACCAUACUCUAGCCUAGGCGACAGAGUGAGA
This 5496-nucleotide long non-coding RNA is filed under the name Homo sapiens (human). Its description in RNAcentral is "non-protein coding lnc-NANOGP8-3:5". Lineage: Eukaryota; Metazoa; Chordata; Mammalia; Primates; Hominidae. The record is from RNAcentral.